UCAUUUUAUUUUAUUCUUUACCAGUAUUACGUUAAGAAGUCCAUUUGCACGCACCCCCUUUUGAGCAUGGGAACGUACGCCAGAAUCCAGCUCAGCAAGGGGAGAAACCUAGUAUUUUGCAAAUGAGGAGGGAGUUGGAGCGGAUGAAAUCGGCUCUCGAAACGAAAGGCCGCCUUUUUCAACCGCAUAUGAAAGACUAUCUCUUAAAAGAGAUUACGCUCCUCACUAACAAAAUAAGCUUCAAUAUGCUCUUUCAGAUAUGGUACAUUUGCACCCUCUAUACACAUCGGAAAAUCCUGCGCUGACGAAAAGGAAUGUGUAGGCAGGUGAUUAAAUUUACUCUUGGAAAGAAAAACGGAGAAUGUUUUCAACCGCAUUUGAAAGACUCUCUUUUAAAAGAGAUUCCAUUUUUGCAGAGUCGUAUUCGUCUUAGUGACAACAUGAAAGAAGGAUUUUUUGUAUUUAUAUGUUUUUUCGUGCAAUCGAUUAUCUACUGAUGAGUUGAUGUACCUGUAUAUAUUUUUGGGUAAAAUAUACUUCUUUUUACCCCCGUGUAAUAAGCUCAAUCGAGAGUUGUAUUCGACUUAGUGACAACAUGAAAGAAGGAAUUUGUAUUUAUAUGUUUUUUUUUUGUCUAAUGAAUUAUUUACUUAUGAGUUGAUUUAUUUCAAUUUGAUUUGUUCAUUGUGAAAAUACUGUGUGUAUGUAUUUUUGGGCACUAUGGUUUAUGGAAUGGCAACGAAUAUAUGCAAGACGAAAAUUACUAAGUGCAAGACCUUACUUUAUGCAAGACUAAUAUAUAAAUAAAUUUACUAAGAUCAAGAUUGGAAAUUACAAAUAUAACCCCAAUAUUAAUUUAGAUAUUAUUAAUUCAAAUUAGGCUAAUUGCUAUUGCAAGACAAAAAAAAAAAAAAAAGGAAUAAAGAAAAGGAAAAAAGAGGGAACUCACUCCCCCAACAAAACCCCAACACUCAUAUUACACACUUUUUUCCACAAAAAAAUCUUCCAUAUUCUCCAAAACCCUCAUCACACAAAUCCCUCAAAUCUUACUAAAACUUGAAAAGAAGGACAUUAUGGAUACACAAGACAUAAAUAUGGAGGAUUUUAAGGUCGAAGAACACAAAAAGGUAAGAAAUAUUGUACUUUGUGAUCGUUUUUCUCGUUUUUCGCACCUCAUUUCACGUACAAAAAAUUCGACAUGUACAUGUCGAAAUAUGCUCCGAAUAUCGACACAUUAGUGUCGAAAAUUUCAACAUAAAUCGACACUCUUUUCUUGUCGAUUUUUAUUGAAUUUUUCAACACUGUGGUAUCGAUAUUCGGUGCAUAUUUCGACACUGGUGUGUCGAUUUUUCACUGUUACAAUUGUUUAACCAAAAAUCGACACCAAUAUGUCGAAAUAUUUCCAAAAAAUCGACAAGUACAGGUCGUUUUUUGUAAAAUCGCAACUCCUUCAACAAUAGUGCUAGAAUCGAACCCUAAAAUUAUCAACUAUGUUCUAAAAUGACUUGUAUUCAUUAUUCUAACAAUAAAAUCAUGUUUAUCACAUUUUAUUUCUCAAAAAAAAUUAACUCAAAAAGUAAUUUUCUUACUUUCUUUUCGUGAGACUGCUGUGGCGGGGUUGAGGCAACAACAGUUGCAGGUGGGGAGGUUCUAGUGGUUGUCGACUGCAACGGCGACGGGGCGACGGCGAAGGGCGGCAGCGAGUGCUGCAAUUGAUUUUUUUCCCUUCUUCCCUCCUCGUUUUUUAGUUCUCAUUUUUCAAUUUAUUUUUUCUUUCUUUUUUUAUUAAUUUUUGUUUUUUAAAUUAGUCUUGCAAAAGUAAAUUAAUAAAAGAAUUUUAUUUUUUUUGGUAUUUUACUAAGGCUAUUAUAGUCUUUUUAUACUUAGUUUGAUAAAAAAAAAAUUAAUUUGGUCUUGCUCUAAGUAAGUUUGUGAUUGCAAAUAGUCGCUGUCUUAUGGAAUAUUUACCCCUUUUAAUUUGAAAAUUGUCAUUUACCCCUCAACUAAUGAGUCAACCUAUUUGACUACUAAAAUAGUGAGGUGGUUUAAAUGAAAUGUAAUUUUAUCCUCAAAAUUUUACAUCAUUUUUUAUUAGGUUGAGGCUAUAUGCAAGACUAAUUUCACUUGUGCAAGAUCAAAUUAAAAUUUUCAAUAUAUAAAUACUAUAAUACCCUUAUUUGUUAAAAAAUAGAAAAUUUCAAAUGUGCAAUACCAAAAACUCAAAAACAAAAAAAACUCUAUCACAAAACCACAAAACCAACUCUCAUAAAUCUUUCUCCUUCCUCAUCUAUAAACCCACAAAACCUAAACAUUCAAAAUCAUCAAAACUCAACAAAUCUUACAAAGAUGGCAAGUAUGGAGUCAAUAGACAUCAAAAUAGAAGAAUCUACGGUAGAAUAAUCCAAGAAAUUAUGCAUUUAUGUGUUUUUUUUAGCUAGAAUAUCGUUUUUCCAAAAACAAUCCCGCGCAGACACAGUCGACGUGUACAUGUCGAAUUUUAUAGGCAAAAAUCGACAAUGAGAUGUCGAUUUUGUAGUACAAAAUCGACACCUUAGUGUCGAAAUUUAAUUGUUAGUAAAUUAGGCUAAAUAUACUAAAUUUCGACAUUAAGGUGUCGAAUUUAUGGACAUAUAUUCGACACCUUAAUGUCGAAAUUUAGUUGUUUCAUAUUUCGACAUGUACAUGUCAAAUUUUAUAGGUAAAAAUCGACAUUGAGAUGUUGAUUUUGGAGUACAAAAUCGACACCUUAGUGUCGAAAUUUAACUGUUAGCAAAUUAGUCCAAAAUUUACUAAAUUUCGACAUUAAGGUGUCGAAUUUAUGGACAUAUAUUCGACACCUCAAUGUCGAAAUUUAGUUGUUUCAUAUUUUAUUAUUAUUUGUUAUUUGGUCUUGCAUGAGCAAACAAAAACCAAUUUAAUUUAUGGGUAUAUUUGUCAUCUCAUCUUAAUAAAAUAGAAUAUUUUGGAAUCUUUCUUUAAUUUGGUCUUGCACAAGUGAAAUUAGUAUUGCAUAUAGCCGCAGCCUUUUUAUUAUUAUUGUCCUUCACACAUGAUACCUUAUUUUUAUAAUAGGAAAUUAAUUUUUAUACUGUGAAUAAAUUUAAAUAAAUGUUUUGGGUUAGUUUCAUUUUUUAAAUUGAUAAAAUUAUUUACUUUAAUUAUUAUUUUAAAAAAAAUAUUUUUAACAUUAAAAUUUAUAUAAUUAGUUAUAACUAGAAUUUAUGUAAUUUGUAAUUUGAAGUCCAAAUGUUUUUUUUUUUGUUGGAUUAAAUUUCAUUGAAUUAAUAUAAAGUGUAUAUUGUGUUGAUUUUUUUAUUCAUGAAAUCAAUUUAUAAAUAACAUUGAAAAAAAAUAUAUGAUUAAAGUAUUACCAUUAUCAUAAAGGCUAGUACCAAUCUCUUAAUUAGGAAUUAUUAUAACUAGCCUAUAUUAAAUCUCAUGUGGAGAAUAAUGUUAAAUGUUGUGCUAAAAUUUUAAAUAACGAAAAUAUUUCCGAUUUUAAGAGUGAGUUAAAUGGCAAUUCGAUUGGUACUUAUAAUAUAAGACCCGAUCCCAAAAGGAUAAAAAUAAUUUUAUGUAAAAUCAUUUGAUUGUUAUAGAAAAUAAAUGGCAGUGGUUUGGGUUGAUGCAGAUACAAUUAUUCGUCUGCUCUUAUUCUCGAAAACAGAAGUUGAAACUUUAUAAUUUGAAAUCAUUAUUCGAAUAAAGAUUAAAUUUAAUUAAAAUAAAGCCGCAAUUUUUCCCAGCCAUUUAUUUUUUUGUUAACCAGUAAAAACACAGUUCAAUUUUUGGAUUGAAAAAAUGAUUCGGAAUUUGUAAAUAUUUUUUGAAUUAAGGGGUUUAUACAUUUUUUAUUCGAGGUGAAUUGAAAAACAAAAAUAGUCUAGAUUAUACUAGAUCCUCUACCAUAGUCCAGUUUCGAACCCUUUAAAGCGUUCUUUGUGAGAUCACAUUUUACUUGUAACUUAUAUAGCACGGACAUGAAAAAGGUGAUACGGAAAAACUGACACGGGGAAAUGAUAUAUUCUAAAAAUGAAGAUAUGGGAACUCGGGGGAAAUGUGUGACUAUUAAAAUUAUAGGGGUAUAAUUAUAAAUAUAUAAACUUAUAUAAGUUUUUAUUUAUAUAUGAAUUAUUUUAUAUUUUUUCACACAAACAUAUUCAAAAUGAAUUGUACUAUCAAUCAUCGAUUUGAAAUUGAUCAUUAAAUCGUGUAAAUAAUUAGGGAAACAACAAAACUAUUUAAAUAUUUGCUAUUCAAACAUGUUUACAACUUUCAAAAAUUAUAAAUUGGCCAUAAUGUGUCUGGCAAGUGUUCUCGGGUAUUCGAAACGUUAAAAGUUAAAGUUUCCGUACUACAUAGCUGAUAACAUAUUAGUGAGAGGUUGGGGUUUAAACCAUUUAAAGGUUGUUUAUUAAUUAUUGAUGGACAACAAUAUUAAUUAUUAAAUAUAAUAAAAAUUGUGAGUAGACAUCACCACCAUAAGGCGAAGAGAAACGUUUUGGAUUCUUCAAUUUGAAAACAACAAUAAUAAAAGGAUUUAACUGCAACAAGUGUUAAUUAGAGGGGUUGAGGUGAUAUUAACUCUUAUUUCAAGGGGUUUAAACUAUAAUAAAUACAUACUUACAAAUUGAUCAAAUAAGCCCUUUUCCGAUGAUCAGUUUAAUCUCUCUCUCCUCACUAAACCCCGUACGUCAUGCCAACCGUCGCCGCCGUCACCCGCCGUUAUCCGUUCGCCGCCGUGGGAGGAGGAGACUGCGAAGGCGGCGAUGGAGCUGGUGAAGAGAAACACACAUGCCAACAACAGAGCUCUGAUUGUUGAUUUGCCGCGAGCCUUUAAAGGAUGGCUAUUUCCAGAUUGUAAGCCAUGAAAUUUACUGUUUGGGGCUAAUUACGGUUAAAAGUCCAUAAAUUAAUACAGCCGGGGCUUGCAAAAUACUGUUAAUUUAGCGAAAUAUUACAUUAUCGAAGCUUCUACUGUAUGUGGAAAUGUAAUUGCAUUACUGUUUGCCUUUCUUAUGAUACAAUUAUGUUAAUUGUAGUUAGAAACUAUGGAGAACAUCUGGCUGCUGUUAUAUUUAUAUAUACUUAAUUACUGUUUAACAUGAUUUUUGGGUAAUUGGUCGAAUAUGUUGGUGAGUAUUUUGGUGAUUAUUGUAUUUAUUUACUAUAAUUUGUUUUUUGGUUAUUGUGAUAAUAAUGCCCUAAAUGUGCCAACUGCUGCAAUUUCUGUUGUCGUACAUUAAUUUUUAUCUCCCCAGAAACUCCAUGGUCGUAGGUUAUAGAAAGGCGUGUUACGUUGUUUGACUUACAAUCUUGCAUGCGUGGCUAUCCUGCUUCUCUCUGUUGUAUUAGCUACUAUAGGAUUAGCAUCAAUUUUCUACUCCUUUACUAUAAGUUGUUUUGUAAAAAAAGUUCAAAUGUUUUUCGACCAACAACCUGAAAGAAUUCAAUGUGAAUUGAAUGAUACGUAUGGGUUAACAUCCUUCUUAUCACUGUUGAUUCUAUACACCUUCUGUGUUAUGUGCAUCUUUAAUACAUAUGUGAUCUUCCCACGUCUGUUUUUUAUUAUAUUUGUAACCAUGGAAACUCGAGGUUUGAAGUCAUUAUCAAAUUUCUGCUAAUUUUGCAACUGGUGAAGUUAAUCUAUGUCACAUAUUCUCUAUAGGAAAUUCCACGUCCAAAAAUUAUGACAUCUUAUUGGUAACUUGAUGGUUCGUACUAAUUUUACUUCUCAUUAUUUGAAGGAAUAUGGGGCAUUAUCGCGAGUUGGCGAGAGAUGUGUUUUCAGAAUCAGGUAAUAAUUUAAUUUGGAUGUUGAAGAGUAGCUUUAGUGCUCAUAAGCUGUUUGAUCUCAAUCUGGUAUAGAGACUACAAAAGUUUGGGUUGAGUUUCAAAGUUAUAUGCUUCUAAUCAAAACAACAUCAGAUAUCUAUAAAAUAACCUUUUAGCUUAUUGAGCAGAAAUCAAGCUAAACUUGAUAAAUAUCCUAUUGCUAAUAUGAUAUCAAAAUUGAACAUUCCUAGAAAAUUAAUCCGAAAAGGUAUACUUAGCAGUUGGGUAGAUGUCUACGGUUUCGUAAACCGACCGAACCAAAACCAAAGCUUUAAUUUGUACCGAAUAUUGAACUGCUAUUAUCCUGUUUGAUAUUCGCUUUCCGUAUUUCACAGUUUUGGUUCGGUACUGAUACUUUUGGUUUAAGUUUACGCAACUGAACUGUGCUUUUAGAAAAUCCUUCUUUGUACAUAUAUGAUUGAAGAAGAGAUUUUUCCAUGUAUACAAUCAUUCCUGGUAUUGUCAUAUGUCUUCUUAUUAGCUAGUUUUUGUUCUUUUCUUCCAUCAUAGAAAAUGCGAGUUAAUAAGUUUAAAAGUUUUUUUUUUUUGUUUAAUUCAUUUGCAAUUUUACAUGUAACCCAGAAUUUAAAUAGAGAAUAAUGGUGUAGGCUGGAAGAGCAAUCAAGACCAAGAUGAAAUUUUGGAAAUUUCCAAAGAGCAAUCAAUACCAAGAAUGGCAGUCGGUUUUCAGUAUUGCCAAAAAAUAUUUGGUAUAGUUUACAUGCUACUCAGUUUGGUUGAUGAAAUAUAAUUAGUUGUCUCAUUUAUCAGAAAAUUCACUUAUCCCGGGAUCUUUACGAAUUUACCGAACCACACCAAAUUGUUUGGUUUUGGGUAUUAAGUGUCGUAAAAUGCAAAAUGAUAUUUCUGUUUUCUAAUUUUCGGUUUGCUGAAUGCACAGGCCUUUUGGCUGUGGAUAUUGGGCUUAGAUACUCUUUCAGAAAUCCAAGAAAUGGAUCGUAGAAGUUCAAAACCGUAGUAAAGGUACUGUCAAGCCCAUCCAAUACAUUUUGUUUCCGUACAUUGCUGCCAGCUAAGAAUUAUUAAUGCUAAUACGUCAAAUGAGUUGGCGAGUUGGUGGAUGGAUAAGUCAGAAUUUAUUGCAAUUGACUGUCGACCGUAUCACGGCAGAUUUUCUCACCAUUAUAUAACACGCAUUCUCCGUGCACCAAUUCAUUCACCAUAUCUCCAUGUCUCUCUGCUUUCAGUUUUCUUCCCAUCAUUUUCUCUGAUUUAAGGCUUUUGCUUUAUUUUUGGUUGAAAAUCGGAUGAGAUUUGUGUUAAUAUUUGUAAGUUUUAGUUUGAUUUAGUUUUAGAAUGAUGCCUAUAUCUUUUUCUUAUUCUUGUUACACCCCCCCCCCCCCCCCCACCAAGCUGCAUUCUACCUUCAUUUUUCCAUCGUGUAAUCAUUUUCUCGGAUUCAAGGAUUUUGAUCUAUUUCUGGUUCAAAAACAAAGGACGUAUCUGAUUUGACAUACAUCAUUUUUUUUUUGAAUUUUGUAAUUUUCGAUUUUUCAUUCCCGGUCGCCUAGUUGUUUCUGUCCAUUUCUUUUUGUCUACUUUUCAUUCAAUUCUACCUUGGAUUAAUGAUAGAUCUCAUCUCGAUUUGAAGAUUAGUUUUCUAGGACAAGUUUUUGUGUCAUAGUUACGUUGCUUCUCUUUCUGAUGAUUUUUUUCCCUUGUAGAGUUAUCCAUGAAGAAAUAUCCUCUGCUGGAAAUAUGCAGAGGAACGAGCUCAAUUUUAAGGUAAAUUUCAUGAAGUCAAUUAUGACAGAUCUCUUAGAAUCAAAGAAUGAUAAACAGAGAACAACAGGGAUCUGUUGUUGUUUUUCAAAAAGAAAAUAUAUAGAAAUGAUUUAGUAAAUAAACUUAUCUUAAUUAACUUAAUCAACAGAUCUUACAUUAGAUACCCAUGUGAAAUGGAAGGAAGCUAUCUAUAUUUCUUUUUGAGAGGGUUAUAUCCGGAACUGUAGAUCUCUUAUAAUUUCACUCUCGUAAAGUAAGAUAUUCAAAAACUGAGGACAAUGAGUUCUUAUGUUAACAUGCUUGUCUUUGGGUAUGACAAAGGAAAAGAAGCGACUCAAACAACUGUCAUCACUGCCACAAUAAGGACAAAGAAAAUUUCCUACAGAUUCGGCGACGCAGUUUUCGUACCUGCUGGCUGCCCUCACCAAGCUAGAAAUCUAAAGGUUUGAAUGUCUGGCUCGUAUACAACUUCGUGAACAACUUCAAUUGUUUUUCAGUCGAAUAUACAUUUUAUUCGCUGCGAAUUUCGUAAUUAAUAUUUGUGUACGAUGUUCCAUCUUGCAGUCGUGCACAAGUAUGUCUAUCGACUUUGUUUCAGCAGAAAGUGUCGGUGAGUGCAUCCGCCUGUCAAUGGAAUAUCGGUCGACUCCCUCACAAUCAUAGUUCUAAGGAAGACAAAUUGCAGGUAUGUAAAAUAAUAUGAUUGUCUUGUCAAUAACUAAAAUCGGAGAUAUAUAUAAUGAAUAAAAAUUUGUCUGCUUGUAAGAAAAAUAAAGAUUGCGGACGACAUCUAACGGCUCGUAAUAAAACAGGUGAAGGGAUUGGUUCUCAGCGCUGUACUUGGACAAGAUUGAUGCGUAAGUCAUAUAUGCUUGUUAAACAUAUGUCUUUGAUACGAUACGAUGUUAAUUCAUUUUAUUUUAUUCUUUACCAGUACUACGUUAAGAAGUCCAUUUGCACCGUACGCCAGAAUCCAGCUCAGCAAGGGGAGAAACCUAGUGUUUCACAAAUGAGGAGGGAGUUGGAGCGGAUGAAAUCGGCUCUCGAAACGAAAGGCCACCUUUUUCAACCCCAUAUGAAAGACUAUCUCUUAAAAGAGAUUCAGCGCCUCAUUGACAAAAUAAGCUUCAGUAUGCUCUUUCAGAUAUGGUACAUUUGCACCCUCUAUACGCAUCGGAAUGUACAUCGGAACCCUGCGCUGACGAAAAGGAAUGUGUUGGCAGGUGAUUAAAUUUACUCUUGAAAGAAAAAACGGAGAAUGUUUUCAACCGCAUAUGAAAGACUAUCUUUUAAAAGAGACUCGCUAACAAAAUAAACUCCAUUUGCAGAGUCGUAUUCGUCUUAGUGACAACAUGAAAGAAGGAAUUUUUGUAUUUAUAUGUUUUUUUUUAUAAUGAAUUAUUUACUGAUGAGUUGAUUUAUUUCAAUUUGAUUAGUUUAAUCUCUCCUCACUAAAUUCCCAUAUGUGGAAGUGCAAUACCCAUGCCAACCGUCGCCGCCGUCACCCGCCAUUAUCCUCCGCCGCCGUGGGAGGAGGAGACUGCGAAGGCGGCGAUGGAGCUGGUGAAGAAAGAAACACACAUGCCAACAACAGAGCUCUGAUUGUUGAUUUGCUGCGGGCCUUUAAAGGAUGGCUAUUUCCAGAUUGUAAGCCAUGAAAUUUUACUGUUUGGGCUAAUUACGGUUAAACCUCUAUAAAUUAAUACAGUCGGGGCUUGCAAAAUACUGCUAAUUUAGCGAACUAUUAAAUUUAUCGAAGUAGUAAUUUUAAUAUGUUUUUACCGGGUCGGACCGUGAGAAAUUAUUAUUUAAGCGAGGUUAUUAAUUUAUCGAGGUUCUACUGUGUGUUGAAAUGUUAUUGCAUUACUGUUUGCCUUUCUUAUGAUACCAAUAUGUUAAUUGCAGCUAGAAACUAUGGACAACCUCAUGUUGCUGCUGUUAUAUUUAUAUAUACUUCAUUACUUUUUAACAUUUGGUCGAAUGUGUUGGUGAGUAUUUGUUGAUUAUUGUUUUUAGUUACUAUAAUUUUUUUUUGGUUAUUGUGAUAAUAAUGCCCUAAAUGUGCCAACAGCUGCAAUUUCUAUUGCCGUAUAUUAAUUUUUAUGUCCACAGAAACUCCAUGGUCGUAGGUUAUAGAAAGGCGUGUUACAUUGUUUGACUUACAAUCUUGCAUGCGUGGCUAUCCUGCUUCUCUCUGUUGUAUUAGCUGCUAUAGGAUUAGCAUCAAUUGUUGUUUCUCCUUUACUAUACGUUGUUUUGUUAAAAAAAAUCAAAUGUUUUUCGACCAAAAAACCGAAAGAAUUCAAUGUGAAUUGAAAGUACGUAUGGGUUAACGUCCUUCUUAUCACUGUUGAUUCUAUACACCUUCUGUGUUAUGCGCAUCUUCCCACGUCUGUAUUUUAUUAUAUUUGUAACCAUGGAAACUCGAGGCUUGAAAUCAUUAUCAAAUUUCUGCUAAUUUUGCAACUGGUGAAGUUAAUCUAUGACACAUAUUCUCUAUAGGAAACUCCUCGUCCAAAAAUUAUGACAUCUUAUUGGUAACUUGAUGGUCCCAACUAAUUUUACUUCUCCUUAUUUGAAGGAAUAUGGGGCAUGAUCGAGAGGUGGCGAGAGAUGUAUUUUCAGAAUCAGGUAAUAAUUUAAUUUGGAUGUUGAAGAGUAGCCUUAGUGCUCUUUUAAGUGUCAAAUAAUCGGAAAGUGCUUCAUCUGAUAACAUUUAUAUGAAAAACCAAAUGUCGCAGAUAUGAAUGCGUGACUUAGUUAUUCAAGACUAAAGUAUAUGUUAAUAAAGCUAUUAGUUACUAUAUGUCUUCAGUUAAUUUGUUCAAGUAUUGAUCAAAUAUAUUAUACACAAUUGCAAGUGAUAUUACUCUUCGAUAUGUUCAAACAUCUCAAAAGAACUUUGGUUUUAGGAAAAGAAAUCCUGCCUGAUAUUUGGAAGGUAAAACAAUCGGGAAUGAGGUUUUUAGCAUCACACCUUGAGUUUUUGCUUUUUUCAUACCUAGGUAAACUAAAUUAAUGGCUCAAGGAAGUUCACAAUAGACUGUGUGGUACAUUUCAUAUCUCGCCAAAUGUCAUUUUGCUGACAGCUAUGGUUGGUGUAACUGCUAAUAUGUAAAGUUAGCUGGCAUCGUCACUGGAUAUGAAGCAAUUUAUUAGGGGUCGAUACAAUCAAUGCUGACCUUAUCGAUUUACUGGCGGAGUUUCCCACAAAUAAAUUUUACCCUCCCCUCCCUCCCUACUCCCAUUCUUCUAUCUCGCCCAUUCUCUCCACCUCUGUAUCCCUUGUUCAAUUUUCCAUCUUCGUCUCCUCAUUUUCUCAAAUUAAAAGCUUCUGUUUUGUUUGUGGUUCAGAAUCAGAAGAGUUUGUUAUCUGAUUUAGGUGAUUUUAUAUUACCUUUUCUUGUUUUUCCCUUUUUUUUUUUCUUAAACUAGAUGAACUGAGUUUGCUAUCUAAUUUCCACCACUUUCAUGUUACAUUUCAUGACACGAUAUGUUCUAUUUUAGAUUAAAAAAGAACAUGUGUUUGUCAUAUUGAUUUUGAAGAUUAUAUUGUAUGAUUAGUUUUCUUACUCCUCCUUGGUGAUUAUUUUAUCGUUUAUGUUGUAGAAACUAACAAUUUUGAAAAAAACAUUCUUCUAUAAAUAAGGUUGGUUUAAUCACUGCAUGUAUUCUUACUUAUAAUUAAAACUUAAAAUAAUAGAUGUAUAAUUAGAGUGGUGCAAUCCUUAUGAAGAAACCAAUAACCACUAUUAUAUAAUUUAUAUUUUUUUUCCUUACAUGAUUAUGAGCCAUUUGAUGAAGUUAUUAAACUUGUACUCAUAUGUUCUUGAAUAUAAUCCUUUAUGCUCUAUUGUAAUCAUGUAUUCAAAUCAAAGUAUAUCAUUAAUGGUUUAAAAUUGUUGUUAUUCUCUGUUAGUCUUUAGGUUACAACAUUUUCAUGCCUUGAAAUAGGUUUCAUAACCUGUAUCUCCCACUUUUUUUUUGUUGGUAGAAUUUAGAGGACAAAAAUACAUUAGUCGGCAUAGGUUAUGUGAACAUAUUAAAAAUUUAAUUAUAAUGGUUGAAAUAUUUAUUAAUAGAUUCUGGUGCACCAAUUUUAUUGUCAGUGUGCAUAAGUAGUAAGUAGCAAUAAUUUAAAACAAAUAUUUUUCUUAAAAUGUCCUUAAGGAAUCCUAAUUUGAGAUUUUUUUUUCUGGGGCCCUCCUUUUUACAGGCAUGGUAAGUAAAAACGUUUUUGGUUAGUGAGAAGGAAAAUGAUUUAUAUAUUUAUAUGAAUCAGCAUAAGAUUGCAAUAGUCAGUAUUAUAUUGCAGUAAUAUGUAUAAGUUUGCAAUAGUCAACAUUAUAUUGCAGUGAGCAGUAUCGGAUUACAGUAAUCAACACAAUUUUCCUUUUUUGCUGGUAAGACCUCCUUAUUUCAUUUUCCCUGGAACAAUUAUGCAUACAUUUUGCCAUUGCAGUUAAGAGAACAAUUGAAAACCAAGAUUUAUCAAGGCAAUUAAUUUUCGGGGAGUUAAAAUGAUGCCGUCGAGAAGUACAAAUGGAGAAACAUCUUCUGCUGGAAAUAUGCAAAUGAACAGACACAACUUAAAGGUAAAUUAAUAAUGUUAAUUGUAGAAUUAAAUUGCUAUAAGAUUUGAUAUAAGCAUAUAGGUUGCAGAAUUCGGUUAUCCGUGCAAUUGUCUUGUAUCAAAUACUUUUUAGAAGUAAAAAAAUCAAAUUCCAUUUUGUGUUUGUCUUUUCAAUGAGACCCCAUGUGUAAAUACCAAAUUAGAAAAACCUUUCUUUCAGACUAUUUAUAGUGAAAUUACUUUGACUAAAUACAUUUAUAUAUACAGCAGGGGGACCGGUAAGUGUGGAUUCUUCGAUUUUGUGAUGUUGGUCUUGAAUUAUUUAGUAUUCAAUCAUGAAGUGUUUAAUUUAAAAAAUGUAUCUUUGUAAUUUUAAUCGAUAGAUCUAACAUUAGAUAUGUGUGUGUGUGUGUGUGUGCGCGCGCGCUCAUGUGUGUGUGUAUACGCAAUUUUAGAGUAAAUGCAUACAAAUUUUGGAUGAUCUGUCAUAAUUUCAUAAUAUUCGAAGGCGUUUAAAUGUUGUUCUGAAAUAACUUGAUUACGGCAGAAAACGAUGACAUGUCACAACAAUUAAAGUUAAGACCCUAAAGAAGAUUAAAUCCAAAACUGCGGAUCUCAUCUAAUUCAUUCCAUUGCCAACUUUUCAUAAAGUACUAUAUAAAAAAUCGAGGAUAUACUCUAUGUUAAUAUGUUUUUCUUUGGAUGUGGCAGAGGAAAAGCAUCGACUCGACCAAUUGCCAUCAAUGUCAUAGAAAUGACAAAGAAAAAGUUGUACGAUGCACCAAGUGCAAGCAUAGGGGUUAUUGUAUUCUCUGUAUCAAUAAAUGGUGAGAAAUUUUGUUGCUUGAUAUAUUUUUUGUUGCUCUUAUGUUGGUACUUGGUAUAUCUUACAUGGUGGCUUAUAUUUUGUAAUAUGGAUAAAUGUCAUUUAAGUCAUACUGAUUAAUUUUGAGUUUUACCGCCACAAAGCAGGAUGGUAUAUUUAUUAUCUUCUCUUUGGAAUAUACCUACUACCCAUUUAGUCAUUUAUGAAUGAAUUUUUGCUUAAACAUGUUUCAAAGUAAGGGCUUCCCUUGGUUCUACACUUACAUUAUUCCUGCAUUUUCUUCAAUAUAUAUAUAUAUAUAUAUAUAUAUAUAUAUAUAUAUAUAUAUAUAUAUAUAUAUAUAUAUAUAUAUAUAUAUUUUAUCGUCGAUAUACUAUAUCUCUGUGGUACACACAGAUACAGAGGCUGCAAGAGGCAGACUUUGCUGAAGCAUGCGCAGGCUGUCGCAAAUUGGCAACUGUACAGCUGGCAUACAUUCUGAUCUGGAGAAUAAAGUUAGUAUUAAGGUUCUUCUCUUGAUUUUAUAUUAAUAUAGGAUUAUAUGUUUUCUAAUUAAGUCUCUUGUUCUUGCAUGUUAGGAUUUGUUCAAACCAGACUUGCAGCUCGACAUCAACAAAAAGGUCCAGUACUCAAAGUAUAUUAUUAGAGUACUUCUUCCUUCGUUUAGGAAGUUUGUUGUUGAGCAGAACAUAGAAAGAGAAGAAGAGGCAAGAAUUCAAGGUAACUUUAACUUUUGUUAGGAGGUUUUGCUUAGAAAAUUAUUUUGAUAUCUCUUAUCUUCUUGUUACUGAUAUGGAUUUUGAUGCCUCCAAACGAAACCGAAGUGUCUUAAAAUGGUAUUUAAUGGCACUAUGCAUCAUUGAAGUUUCAGGAUGAUUUUUUCUAAUAAUAUUAAUUUAUGCCGUGUAGAAGUGUUGAACAUAUUUAAUGUUUAUCGUACACUACUUGUUUCCUGAAGAUCUAUGAGUUUAAAAGUGAGAUUCUUAUUUUAGGCGUGCCUUUGUUUGUGUUACUAAACACCCUGGAAAACAGCACAAAAAUCUAAAUCUAAUUUUCUUGUCUGUAUCAAUUCUACUACGACGAUCCAUCACCACUGCCUCGACCAUUAUCCCGCCAAAAAUGUAUAUUCACUGUUUAUUCGAAAGAUAGAAUAAAUAUGAAAAAUAUUUUAUAUGUUAAUAGUUUCCGUUAAUUGUAUGUGCUACUCCAUUUCAGUGAUUUAUGAUUUUGAGGUAUUAGUGAGACGUACCUGGAGAUAAACACUAUUGAUAGAACUCUUAAUUUUCCCUAGCAGAUGUAGUUUCGUUGUUUGAUUAAUUAUAAUAUAUAUAUUUUGGUUGGGCAGGUGUUUCAGUUGCGGGACUACAGCUUCCGAAAGCCAACUUUAUCCACGACGAUAAAGUCAAAUGGUGGAUACUUUUAACCUAUGCCCUUUUCCUGAUAAAUGUUUGCUCCAGUAUGGAAAAUGUUGAUAAUUAUAACUUGUGCUGUGCAGUGACAACUGUAAGACUGCAAUAUUCGAUAUCCACAGAAGUUGUCUAAACUGCAUGUACAAGCUCUGCGUAACUUGUUGCCGAGAGAUAAGGAAUGGCUUCCAAUGGGGAAAUGAUAAAUAUCACGUUCAUCAUGGGGGUCGUACUUUUACAAGCAAUGAUAGAUUUUCUGCAGCAGCCUGUUGCUCUAUGGACCACACGAGUUUUACUUCUGAAUGGAAGCUGAUAGACAGAAGUACCAUAGUUUGUCCACCUGAAAUUAUGGGGGGAUGUGCUCAUGGGAAUCUGGUGUUAAAGUCCACAUAUCCAGAUAACUGGGUAUCGGAACUGCUAAUUAAAGCAGAGUCCAUAGAUCUCGAGGUGGGUGAAGUUUCCGAAGAAGCAUGCUCAUGUUCAGGGACUGCAGUCCGUAAUAUCCGCUGUCCCAAAGUUGUGGGCGUUGACCAAAAGCACUUCCAACGGCACCUAUAUAAAGGUGAGCCUGUGAUAGUUCCUGACGUGCUCAGCAGAACGACUGGGUUGAGUUGGGAGCCAUUAGUCAUGUGGCGUGGUUGCCGCAAAUCCAGAAGGACUAAUGACGCUCGCAUUCUGGAAUUCAGCGUAACAAAUUGUGUAAAUUGGUGCAAGGUAUGCCGACUUCUCUAUUAUGUUUUACUCUAUCAAUCAAAAAGUUUUAAUUUGUAAUUUGUGAUUGGACUUCGCUUAUUUUACAUCCUUUUAAUCGUAUACCUCUUUUUUUUUUUUUUUGUUUUUCACAGUCAUGGUCUUAUUUCUUGUAACUGUUUCUAGGUUGUAUUCUUUAUGUUCUUGAGCAUUCACUUGCUGCAUAUGUAAUCUUUCAAAAGAAGGACUAAGUAACAAAAAUACUAAUCUCUUAUCGUCCUUAGUUUCGGUGCAAAUUUCUCUUCAUAUUGUAUCAACCUUCAAAAUGUCAAAACUUUGGUUGGGUUAAUAAGUGUCUAACACGAAUUUGGAUAGGAUAAAGCAAAGAUCUGACAAUUCGUCGUACUCGACAUGUUUCUUAAAAUAGAGAUGUUUUGAUAGAUUUGUUCUUGAUGUUUGUUUUCCUAUUUAAUUGAAAUGAGACCGAUAUAUACGUCGCCUUUACCCUUUUUAUUCGCUAUGUUAAGUGUCACUUCUUAUGUAGGUUUUAGUCUGUCAGUUCCUAUGCAUUAUGCACGUGUACUUUUGUUUUCAUUAGCUUAAAGAUGUGGUGUUGUAAUGAUUUGAUUUUCGGGCUAUGACACGCAGGAAACUAUAAACAUGCACCAAUUUUUCAAUGGGUAUUCUGAAGGCCUCUUGGACAGUGAAGGCCGGCCCAAAAUUUUGAAGUUGGAGGAUUGGCCUCCAACUGAAUCCUUUCAAGAACGGCUGCCUCGGCAUUUUGUAGAGUUCAUUAGAUGCUUGCCGUUCAAGCUAUACACACAUGAAGCUGGCUACCUCAACAUGCCAGCGAAAACGCCGAAGAAGUCGUUGAAGCCGGAUUUGGGUCAAAAAAUAUGCUUUGCUUAUGGAGUCAAUGAGGACCUUGGCUUCUGUUCUGCAACCAAGCUUCAGUAUGCUGUUUCAGAUAUGGUACAUUUUUUUCUGUUAUUAUCUUUCUUUAUUAACUUGAAUAUUUAUGAGAAUAUAUGAACUGCUUUAAAUCAUUUCCAAUUAGUCUGCCUAUUGCAUCGAUAGAAGCAGUACAUCUCCGAAAGAUUAUUCUUAUGAAGUCGUGGGUAUUUCUAUCUAUUCAACGCAGUCCUAGUUCUUCUUUCUUGCAUGUAAUAUGUUAAUCUUAAUUGUUGACUCAUUAUACGCAAGAUAGAAUGAUGUUGAAUAUGCUUUAAACUUGAGUUUCAAUUAGGAAUAAUAGUCAUGAAAAAAUUUGGAAUAAUGUAGAGGCAUAAAAGUUCGAUCACAAACUAUUUCUUGAAGAAGAGAAAUGGAUUUGCUGUGAGCCUCCAUGGUUCUUGAAAUAUGACAUAGUCAUAUAAUUGAGCAAUAUGGUUAGCCUCUUCAUGAUGGAGUUAACUUUUGAUUCCAAUUUACUAUGAAACUUUCAAUAGGAUAAAAUAUAUUAAUUAUGUAGAUUUACUUCUCUUUUUGCCUUACUUUAUUUUUGCCUUAUUUUAUUGGGAAAAUUUUGGGCUAUAAUAAGAUUAUGUAACUUCAAAUCUUUUGUGGAUUGAGACACAAGGGUUGCCCAUUGUGUCAACAUCACUAGCGACUAGUGAUGUACCUAGUCUAUCGAUUAUCGUUAAUGCACGACUUGUUUCGAUACCGAUGGGGACCUAUAGAUACAAUAUUAGGCUCGGAACACAUUUAGAUUGUCAUACAAUUUGUGUGAUCUACGGGUUGAGGAAAAGAAUCGGGAAUGGUCAAAGUGGUUGCAAAGUAGGUGAUACGAGCCUCGUAAGAGUUGCUAGAGACCCUGUAGCAAGAACGAAACAUCCAAAAGGAAGGAUUCAAGUUGGAUUAACAUGGAAUAUGGACCCUAUGAAGAACUAGAAAUCAAUAUUCUUAGGAUGGAAUAUUGACCCAUGGUUAUAUCAAACCAAAAACAAUUAUUAUACGGCAAAGAAAAUUACAAGAAACAACUUGUAAAUUCCUGAAGGUUGUUGUAGAACAUCGAUGGAUAAUUGAUCUUGAAGAACUCAAAAUAAUUCAUUAAACUUUGUGUACGAAAGUUGUGUAUACAACCUAUUUAUAAGUGCUUCAAAGACUCAUUUCUCACAAAAAAAUAGAGUUCCUACCUUUACUAUAAUAAGAAAACUAACAAUUAAGCUAAUUCUAACCAUAAACGAAUUCUACAUGUCACUUUUCUUGAAACUUAUCGACUAUACGCCAUUUUUCUUAAUUGGUGGAGAUUUGGGUAUGCACGUGCAACAACUUUGAGCCCAAUUUUGUCCAUCUUGCAUUCCGUCUUACUAAAGCAUGAAACUUCAAGAUCUUUUGUUGGCUUUUCGUAACAUUUUGAAUUAUGGCAAUCCAAUAUCGGACGUGAGAGUUAUGAUCCGAAUUGAAAAUUUGCGAGAGACAUCUGAGAUUUUGGACGCAUGACAAUUGGUUGGUACGACGAAUUCCUUUCUUUAUUGCCUUCGAAUUCCUCAUCAUGGGGACCUCGGAGUAUUGAUUCAAGUUUAUAUUCUUCACCGCCAACUCCCACAAGAUCACGCAUUCUCUCUUCUUCCAAUUCUUCCAAAUCUUCAUCUUCAAGCUAUCAGGAUCGUAUCAAAAGGAGAAUCUUCAGAAGGAGAAGGAGAAGGAAAAGCUUUAGAGAGAGAAGAAUUGUUGGCGUCUUAUAUACCUAGAACUCAUAAGUAUUAAAUGAGGAUGUGGAAUCACCUCAUGUAAUCCCAAGGAAGGUCAAAGCUCUUUAAAUGUGAAAAAUUGUUUCCAUAUUAAUAAUGCAUAACGAUGAAAUUCUUCUCCCCGAGUUGAUAUUACGAUGAUUGAACUUAUUAACUUCUAAUACUAUUCUAAUACAUAAAAAUUAACUUCUUAAGAAAGUGAUCUUAAAUUAUAGGAAUUUUGAGUUUCUAAAAUACCGUUAAGACCGUACUAAAUAGAAAAUACGGAUUAAGACUAUAAAGUAUAAAUCACCUAUUAUUAUCUUCAAUUAAGAAUUAUGUUGAAAGUGGUUUGUUAGUGAACCUUCUUAUUGGGAGUAGAAAGAGUAAUCUCUCAAUACUUCAAGUUUCAUAUUUGAAGCGAGUCAAAAUGGGUGAGGGUAUUUUCUAUAAAUAGUAAAUAGUAUAUACAUGUGGUAAAUAAGAGGAUAUUAUAGAUCCGAGUCAUAGAAUAUAUUAAAUUCUCAUACAAGUUAUUCAAUCUAAUACAAUGAUUUUGUUGUAUCUAGGUAUCGAGUAGGAACAACUUGUUCAUAACGUAGUUGUUUUUAACUUUAGGCAAGGAUCUUGCUUCUAGAUUGCAUUUGGUCGACGUCGUGCAAAAAUAGUACAUGUAGAGUUAAAAUGAGAUAUAUUAAAUAGUUUAUUAGAUAUACUUACUCUAGUAUGAGAUGUUACAAGUGUAAUUUUUUGCUAUUACUCGAUCACCCCACAUUUGAGCUAUAUAUCAUAUUAUCAUUCAAGCAAGAUAAACAUAGAAACUUUCUGAUAGUCGUCAAAGGAAUGUUUGCGUCCUUUUUUAUGUUUGAUAUUAUUCCUACCUACGUAAAGACUUUAACUUCAACUACUAAAUAGUUUAAUAGGUAAAGAUAUUUAUUUUUGUGUUAUAUGUUACACAUGUAAGCUUUGUGCUUUAUUCUGGUGCUUGUCCAUAGAAAGUUUAUGCUAGUUGUCGAAGGAAUCUAGGAGUCUUUCUUGAUGUUUAAUAUUUUUGUUACCUAAAUCAUUCAACUUAACCUUGUUGAUCGCACUCAAGAUCUCUUUCUACCAUUGCCUAAGUUGUUCUUAUGGAACAUACGAACAAGUGACUACAACAAGUCUUAAUUUGUAUUAUAUUUGUUGUCAGGAUCGUCCUUUUGUUGAUGUCUAACUUUCCCUUCUUUUUUAAUUUUGUAUUAGGUCAAUGUCUUGAUGCAUACAGCUGAAACGUCUCUUAAUCCGGAAGAGCUUUCAACAGUAGUGGAGUUGGGAAGGAAGCACAUUGCCCAAGAUCCACUGGUAUUUCGUGUAAGCAAUGGGAAAGCAAAUCAAGAUGCCCCAAGAAAUCAACAAUUUGAAAGAGAAAAUAAAAAUAAAGGAAAGGAAAAAGUUGAUCCUUCAACCUCAGAAAACAACGAUCCAAGCUUCGAUGAACAAAAAUGUGGUGCUAUCUGGGACAUUUUUCGGAGGCAAGAUGUUCCUAAGCUGGAAGACUAUCUCCGAAGGCAUUACGGAGAGUUCAGGCGUGUCGUCCCUUUGCAGCAAGUAAUUAAAUCUUGAAUUUGAAAACAAUGUUCUACUCAACUUAUUCUGUUAUGGGGUUUAUCUCUCAUAUGGUAGUUACUAUUAUUUUUCUAACAGAAUUCUAAAAAUCAAGAUUUUGUUAAGCUUUUGGUAUGAUCUUUUAUUGUCGUAGCAUAAGUAGAUAGAUGUCUUUUAUUUUUCCAAAGUAUCGAUAUGUUUUGGAAUAUUUAUCAUUUAUUUUUUCCUCUAUUCGUGCACAGCUGGUUCAUCCUAUUCAUGAGAAAGCAUUUUACUUAACGAUGGAGCAUAAAAGGAAGCUGAAAGAUGAAUAUGGUAUGUUUUUAUUGUGUUGUAAAGUGGAAUAUGUGUGAAUUGCUAUGUAUAUUGAUUAUCUAUUUUUAUAUAUAUUUUUUUUUGUAGGAAUUGAACCAUGGACCUUUGUCCAGAGAUUAGGCGAUGCAGUUUUGGUACCAGCUGGCUGCCCUUACCAAGCAAGAAACUUAAAGGUUUGAGUGUUUGACUCGUAUACAACUUCGUGAACGACGACUUCAAUUAUUUUCAGUCGAAUGUAAAUUUUUCGCUGUGAAUUUUGCAAUUAAUUUUUGUGUGCGUGUUCCAUCUUGCAGUCGUGUACGAGUAUGUCCAUCGACUUUGUUUCAGCUGAAAGCGUCGGUCAGUGCAUCCGCCUAUCAACGGAGUAUCGGCGUCUCCCAAAGAAUCAUAGUUGUAAGGAAGACAUGCUGCAGGUAUGUCAAAAAUACGAUUGUCUUGUCAAUAAACAAAAUCAAAGAUAUAUAAUGAAUAAAAUUUGUCUGCUUGUAAGAAAAAUAAAGAUUGUGGAUGACAGCUAACGGCUCGUAAUGAAACAGGUGAAGAGAUUGGUUCUUAGUGCUGUCUGCCAAGCUGUGCAGUACUUGGACAAGAUUGAUGCGUAAGUCAUAUAUACAUAGGCUUGUUAAACAUAUGUCUUUGAUACGAUGUUAAUUCAUUUUAUUUUGUUCUUUCCCAGUAUGACGUUAAGAAGUCCAUUUGCACCCCCCUUUGAGCAUGGGAAUGUACGCCAUAAUCCAGCUCAGCAAGGGGAGAGACCUAGUAUUUUACAAAUGAGGAGGGAGUUGGAGAGGAUGAAAUUGGCUCUCGUAACGAAAGGCCACCUUUUUCAACCUCAUAUGAAAGACUAUCUCUUAAAAGAGAUUACGCUCCUCACUAA
Molecule: long non-coding RNA, 20521 nt
Filed under: Erythranthe guttata (spotted monkey flower)
Lineage: Eukaryota; Viridiplantae; Streptophyta; Magnoliopsida; Lamiales; Phrymaceae
Description: long non-coding RNA (EGUT_LNC000809)
Source: RNAcentral